GCAGUCGAGCGGACAGAAGGGAAGCUUGCUCCCGGAUGUUAGCGGCGGACGGGUGAGUAACACGUGGGUAACCUGCCUGUAAGACUGGGAUAACUCCGGGAAACCGGAGCUAAUACCGGAUAGUUCCUUGAACCGCAUGGUUCAAGGAUGAAAGACGGUUUCGGCUGUCACUUACAGAUGGACCCGCGGCGCAUUAGCUAGUUGGUGGGGUAAUGGCUCACCAAGGCGACGAUGCGUAGCCGACCUGAGAGGGUGAUCGGCCACACUGGGACUGAGACACGGCCCAGACUCCUACGGGAGGCAGCAGUAGGGAAUCUUCCGCAAUGGACGAAAGUCUGACGGAGCAACGCCGCGUGAGUGAUGAAGGUUUUCGGAUCGUAAAGCUCUGUUGUUAGGGAAGAACAAGUGCGAGAGUAACUGCUCGCACCUUGACGGUACCUAACCAGAAAGCCACGGCUAACUACGUGCCAGCAGCCGCGGUAAUACGUAGGUGGCAAGCGUUGUCCGGAAUUAUUGGGCGUAAAGGGCUCGCAGGCGGUUUCUUAAGUCUGAUGUGAAAGCCCCCGGCUCAACCGGGGAGGGUCAUUGGAAACUGGGAAACUUGAGUGCAGAAGAGGAGAGUGGAAUUCCACGUGUAGCGGUGAAAUGCGUAGAGAUGUGGAGGAACACCAGUGGCGAAGGCGACUCUCUGGUCUGUAACUGACGCUGAGGAGCGAAAGCGUGGGGAGCGAACAGGAUUAGAUACCCUGGUAGUCCACGCCGUAAACGAUGAGUGCUAAGUGUUUAGGGGGGUUUCCGCCCCUUAGUGCUGCAGCUAACGCAUUAAGCACUCCGCCUGGGGGAGUACGGUCGCAAGACUGAAACUCAAAGGAAUUGACGGGGGCCCGCACAAGCGGUGGAGCAUGUGGUUUAAUUCGAAGCAACGCGAAGAACCCUUACCAGGUCUUGACAUCCUCUGACAACCCUAGAAGAUAGGGCUUUCCCUUCGGGGACAGAGUGACAGUGGUGCAUGGUGUCGUCAGCUCGUGUCGUGAAGAAUGUUUG
Molecule: ribosomal RNA, 1044 nt
Filed under: bacterium G7
Lineage: Bacteria
Description: bacterial SSU rRNA
Rfam family: Bacterial small subunit ribosomal RNA
Source: RNAcentral